AGUGAACGCUGGCGGCAGGCCUAACACAUGCAAGUCGAACGGCAGGGCAGUAAGCGCGUGCUCCUACGGGUGGCGAGUGGCGGACGGGUGAGGAAUACAUCGGAAUCUACUUUUUCGUGGGGGAUAACGGAGGGAAACUUAUGCUAAUACCGCAUAUGUCCUACGGGUGAAAGCAGUGGAUCUUCGGACCUUGCGCGACUGAAUGAGCCGAUGUCGGAUUAGCUAGUUGGCGUGGUAACGGCCCACCAAGGCGACGAUCCGUAGCUGGUCUGAGAGGAUGAUCGGCCACACUGGAACUGAGACACGGUCCAGACUCCUACGGGAGGCAGCAGUGGGGAAUAUUGCACAAUGGGCGCAAGCCUGAUCCAGCCAUGCCGCGUGGGUGAAGAAGGCCUUCGGGUUGUAAAGCCCUUUUGUUGGGAAAGAACGACAGCGGGUUAAUACCCGGCUGUUCUGACGGUACCUAAAGAAUAAGCACCGGCUAACUUCGUG
This 492-nucleotide ribosomal RNA is filed under the name uncultured bacterium. RNAcentral's name for it is "partial 16S ribosomal RNA". It matches the Rfam family "Bacterial small subunit ribosomal RNA", at positions 29 to 507 of the family's 1533-position model. The record is from RNAcentral.